UGGCAAAUAAUUUUCACUGUGGCUGCUGA
Molecule: non-coding RNA, 29 nt
Filed under: Rattus norvegicus (Norway rat)
Lineage: Eukaryota; Metazoa; Chordata; Mammalia; Rodentia; Muridae
Source: RNAcentral